GAUGAAGAACGCAGCGAACUGCGAUAAGUAAUGUGAAUUGCAGAAUUCAGUGAAUCAUCGAGUCUUUGAACGCACAUUGCGCCCCCUGGCAUUCCGGGGGGCAUGCCUGUCCGAGCGUCAUUGCUGCCCUUCAAGCCCGGCUUGUGUGUUGGGUCGUCGUCCCCCCCGGGGGACGGGCCCGAAAGGCAGCGGCGGCACCGCGUCCGGUCCUCGAGCGUAUGGGGCUUUGUCACCCGCUCGAUUAGGGCCGGCCGGGCGCCAGCCGGCGUCUCCAACCUUCUAUUUUACCAGGUUGACCUCGGAUCAGGUAGGGAUACCCGCUGAACUUAAGCAUAUCAAUAGGCGGAGGA
RNAcentral lists this unclassified non-coding RNA (350 nucleotides) under soil metagenome. RNAcentral describes it as "partial contains 5.8S ribosomal RNA, internal transcribed spacer 2, and large subunit ribosomal RNA". The stretch from base 1 to 120 matches the Rfam family "5.8S ribosomal RNA", at positions 35 to 154 of the family's 154-position model. The record is from RNAcentral.